This 641-nucleotide ribosomal RNA is filed under the name uncultured bacterium. Its description in RNAcentral is "bacterial SSU rRNA". It matches the Rfam family "Bacterial small subunit ribosomal RNA", at positions 114 to 772 of the family's 1533-position model. The record is from RNAcentral.
CACGUGAGCAAUCUGCCUUUCAGAGGGGGAUACCGAUUGGAAACGAUCGUUAAUACCGCAUAAUAUAAUUGAACCGCAUGAUUUGAUUAUCAAAGAUUUAUCGCUGAAAGAUGAGCUCGCGUCUGAUUAGCUAGUUGGUAAGGUAACGGCUUACCAAGGCGACGAUCAGUAGCCGGACUGAGAGGUUGAUCGGCCACAUUGGGACUGAGACACGGCCCAGACUCCUACGGGAGGCAGCAGUGGGGAAUAUUGCACAAUGGAGGAAACUCUGAUGCAGCGAUGCCGCGUGAGGGAAGAAGGUUUUAGGAUUGUAAACCUCUGUCUUCAGGGACGAAAAAAGACGGUACCUGAGGAGGAAGCUCCGGCUAACUACGUGCCAGCAGCCGCGGUAAUACGUAGGGAGCGAGCGUUGUCCGGAAUUACUGGGUGUAAAGGGAGCGUAGGCGGGAUCGCAAGUCAGAUGUGAAAACUAUGGGCUUAACCCAUAAACUGCAUUUGAAACUGUGGUUCUUGAGUGAAGUAGAGGUAAGCGGAAUUCCUAGUGUAGCGGUGAAAUGCGUAGAUAUUAGGAGGAACAUCAGUGGCGAAGGCGGCUUACUGGGCUUUAACUGACGCUGAGGCUCGAAAGCGUGGGGAGCAAA